Triticum aestivum (bread wheat) is the source of this 135-nucleotide non-coding RNA. NCBI's taxonomy places the organism in Eukaryota, Viridiplantae, Streptophyta, Magnoliopsida, Poales, Poaceae. The record is from Rfam.
CUUCUACUCCCUCCGUCCCAAAUUUCUUGUCUUAGAUUUCUCUAAAUACGGAUGUAUCAAGUCACGUUUUAGUAUUAGAUAUAUCCGUAUCUAGACGAAUCUAAGACAAGAAUUUUAGGACGGAGGGAGUACUUG